This is a long non-coding RNA of Gadus chalcogrammus (walleye pollock), 1720 nucleotides long. RefSeq lists it as uncharacterized. The record is from RefSeq and is a predicted model, not a curated record. NCBI's taxonomy places the organism in Eukaryota, Metazoa, Chordata, Actinopteri, Gadiformes, Gadidae. The transcript has 3 exons.
AAAACUAAAAAGGUAAAUCAUUCAUGAUUCAUUUAAACCCUUUCCUGUUGUGCUGCUAUUCACCUCUUGGAAGCGCUAGGCUCACUGGCUGCACUGUCCCGCGUUGAAGACGACAACAACAACGCUGACAACGUGCGCAUACCGUCCUCGUGGAGAGGAGGGGUCUGGUGUGAGGGGAUGGUGGCAGCCCCAGCAACCUCCCCGGUGACAUCAUCAUCGCCCGGCACGGAGCUCUUUGGGAGCAGGUCAGGCCGACCAGAACACUGAGCCACUGAACAGAAUGCAUUCCGCAUAAGGAACCUAGUAUGCUUCAGUAAAUCAAAACAGCUCCCCUCCCUUGUGAUUAGGAAGCAUGUGUUCCUCAAACCCCCGUGUUUUCCAGUACUCACCGCCCUCUACUUCGGCCUCCGAUUCCCCCACACUGCUGCCGGAAUGUUGGCCAGCGGCCAGCUGGUGGCGCUCUCCGUGGCUGCUACUGCUAGCCGCCUGGACGGGAGCUAACGAGCUAUCCGCCUGGACAUGGGCUACGCUAGCCGCCGGGACAGGGGCUAACGAGCUAGCAGCCUGGACAUGGGCUAAGCUAGCCGCCUGGAAGGGAGCUAACGAGCUAGCCGCCUGGACAGGGGCUAACGAGCUAGCCGCCUGGACGUGAGCGAACGAGCUAGCCACCUGGACGUGAGCUAGCAAGUUAGGCGCCUGCGCAGGAGAUGGUGGUUCCGACAACGCGCCCAUUCCCUUCCGCAGGAUGCCCGCGCGGCUCUUCUUAUAGGGAGAGGCCUUUGCUGUUUAAAAAAUACAUGGAGAUGUAUUUGCAUUAAAGUGCUUGAGUUUCAGGCAUCUUCACGGUGAAAACAAGUGAUAAACAGUGCAAUACAAUACAGUGAAUGUAAACAGAAAUAUAAAUAUAAAUGGGAGUAAAGUAUUAUUAAGACACAUGGUGGCGGCUAGCAGAUGGUGAGGUGUCUUACCCCGUCAUGGACCAGAGCUUUCCAGGAGUGUUCUAUCUUCUUGACAAGUCUAAAAUACACAACACACAGGGCUCUCUGAAUGACGUCUUCAAUCGUCCACCCUCGGGGUACAGCCCUAGAUGACAUCAUCCCUCUUGAAACAAACCAACCAAAAGCCCUUACUGGUCCUCGGUGUCCUGGGACGACGUGCCCCCGGCAUCCCCUUGGAUGGACUCGAUGGCGGUGUUGUACAGGGACUUCUGCCCCAGGGGCCGCCGCUGGUCCGAGGCCCCGGACGCCGCCCCCAACUCGGCCACCUGGCUGCCCCGCUCGCGGCAGGCCUGCUCCACGUUGUGCACUCCCACCAGGAGGCUGUAGUCCAUGAUCUUGAAGCUCUGCAACAGCUGACGGAAAGAGGAUCAGGUCGUCACGUUACUUUCAGAAGGCUGAUCCUCUUUAUCGUUUCCUCUUCUGUAGCGGUCACCCUCCGAUGUCACCUCUGCCGAUCUCCGGUCUUCCCAUCACUAUGAGCUAAACGCCGCGUCCUACUAAAGCAUGGAGAUCUGUCGCACCCCCAUCGCACAUACAACGAUUCGGUGAGGUAAUGGCUCAUUGAAAGCUGAAGAAUUCCAUUCAGGGAUCUGUUUCUAAAAGGUUAUCAAGUCUAGCAACCAUUCAUUGUCUAUUUUAAGUCAUUCUAAAUAAAGUAAAGCCAAGUUAUCCAACUUUACUUUGAUUUUGUGUGCAUAAAGUGUUUUAUGGCAACCUUAUAA